Molecule: long non-coding RNA, 1604 nt
Organism: Mesocricetus auratus (golden hamster)
Lineage: Eukaryota; Metazoa; Chordata; Mammalia; Rodentia; Cricetidae
Exons: 2
Source: RefSeq, a predicted model, not a curated record
UGGGACGACUGCCAGCAGCUCCUUCAGAUCCUUUUUACUACAGAAGAAAGGAAACUCAUUAUUGUUGAGGCCUGGAAGUUGGUUCAGGUGAUGCGGGCUUCCACUUGACCCAUGGAAUUUCAACUCACCAGAGGGUAGGGAGUGCCUCAAGGUCUACUGCCAGGUUCUAGUGAGGGGUCUCUGGGCAGCUGCUAAGCACCCAACUAACAUGGCUAAAAUGUACAGUGUUCAGCAGGUGAUUGAUGAAUCACCAUCAGCCUACCUUGAGAGAUUAAUGGAGGCUUUUAGGGCGUACCCUCCCAUGGACCCUGAGACAGCCGAGCAUAGGUUAGCAGUGGUCCUAGCUUUCAUCGAUCAAGCAGCACCAGAUAUUAGAAAAAAACUUUAGAAGAUACAUGAUUAGCCAGUAAGUUGAUUAAUGACUUGAUGGAGGCAGCAAAUAAAGUAUAAUAGAGAGGCUCCUGCAAAAGACCAGCAAGACUGGGGGCAGAGGAAAGCGAGAGACAGGAGAGGGUCAGAGCAGUGGAAAGGGAAAUGGAUCAAAGCGCCACAGCAGCUGCAGAUGGGAAACAGACUCACAACAUGGUGCGGGUGCUGCCAGCGGCAUCGGCUUCUGAUCCAGAGGAAAGCGAAAACAACUCCAGUGCCUGGCCCAGAUGCAAGCAGCCUUGGUGCUCAAAGACAUCUUGCCAAGGUUGCAACAGGUGUAUACGAUGACUCUGCAUCAGUUCCAGCUCAGGGAGACACCAACACAAGACCUUCCUGGAAGGGACCCUAUGUGGUGAUCCCAGCCACCCCCACUGCAAUCAAGGUUGACUGAAUCACCACCUGGAUACAUCACUCCCACACACGCACAACUGAUCCAGAAUUGAUGGAGCCUCCAAAACCAGCCCCAGAAGACAUGGGGCCUCGACAGAGGUGGACUGUGAAACCUGACCCCCAUAUGGUGCACCUUCUACAGUCUGGCCAGAGCUUCAGACAAGAGCUUCAAUCAACAUUAGAGCUUCAGUCAAGAAUUUCAAUCAAGCAUUUCCUGCCAAACAGAGACUAUUUAAUCUACUUAAGACUCUUGUUACACUAACAUUUUUUUUCUACAGGAUCCCAUGAGAUUGUCAUCAUCACAUUUCACCAAAAAGUAAUCUUGAGAAUACUACGCCCCCUUUCCCUACUGUUGAUAUUGUAAAAUAGUUUACACCUGUUAGUGUUAGUUUUCAAUUAUUUAGGGUUGGGAUUGGAAGGAGAGGUUCAGACUUGGGCAUCUCUUUUUAAUAAGUUUAGGAUUUAGAUGGGAUAGAUAUGCUUAGUAUAGGAUAUAAGUAGACUAUAACUUGCUCAUCAUCUUUUAUGUAUAUAUGCUGUAUAUGUUUGAGCUUUGUAUCAAGUCUAAAUCUUUUAUUUAGACUAAAAGGGGAAUUGUAGGGGAGAGUCCACAAUACUGUCCAUGCCCCAAAGGGGCGUGUACAGGGGUACAUGGGAUAGGCGAGAGAUAAAAGGAAAAAGAGAAAGUAAAUCUCUCUCUCUCUCUUGGAUCCUGGCCACUGCGGGGACCAUAGAGCUCCUCCCAGUAAGUGAUUUCUAUAUUCAAUAAAGUAUCCUGGACCUCC